CUCACGGAAAACAGCUUGCAUCCCAAACUCUGACUCAGCAUCUGCUUCUGAAGAACCCAGCGGGGACAUGCUGACACAGGCCGACACUUGGGAGAGCCUGAUGGCGUUCAAUACCUGUGAAACGACUGAAUUCAUGACCACACCCAAGCUCACAGCUCCGAAGCGCCAGACAAACCCCGAUGGGCUGUUUUCCUUCAUGCUGUGUUGCUUUUCUGACACAUGUCCAUCACUCCGAAAAUUAUCCACCAAGACAGAACAACAGAUGCUAACGUCACAGAGUACAAAGGUCACUGAUCCAGCCUCCAGUCCACGUCGCAACCAGCCUCUAAGAGAGUCCGUUUGCUGAGUAUUGAUGUCGUGUCAAAGGAUGUGCACAAUGUAGGAAAAGGAUAUUAAAUACUCUUCGCCCUUCCAACCCCUCACACAUCUGUGUGAAGCUGGGUUUUAUUCACGCAUCUCAAGCAACACGCCACAGCAGAGGAAGAGCCGAAGCAGAGAGGAAGAUUAGCCCUGAGCUAACAUCUGCUGCCAAUCCUCC
Long non-coding RNA from Equus caballus (horse), 538 nucleotides. RefSeq lists it as uncharacterized. NCBI's taxonomy places the organism in Eukaryota, Metazoa, Chordata, Mammalia, Perissodactyla, Equidae. The record is from RefSeq and is a predicted model, not a curated record.